RNAcentral lists this non-coding RNA (24 nucleotides) under Gossypium hirsutum (cotton). The record is from RNAcentral. Lineage: Eukaryota; Viridiplantae; Streptophyta; Magnoliopsida; Malvales; Malvaceae.
AAAUCUUCUCAUUUUAGAGAGUGC